Condylura cristata (star-nosed mole) is the source of this 1819-nucleotide long non-coding RNA. RefSeq lists it as uncharacterized. The record is from RefSeq and is a predicted model, not a curated record. The transcript is spliced from 4 exons. NCBI's taxonomy places the organism in Eukaryota, Metazoa, Chordata, Mammalia, Eulipotyphla, Talpidae.
UCCUUUCCUUGCAUCACAGCUGCGGCUUGAGGCACCGCUAGUCCGCUGCCGGCGUUCCAUUGCCACCUUGACCUGCUGCUACUGUGUUGGCGCCGCGGAUUCCGUGCCGCCGCUGCCUCCACCCUAUCUUGGGACUGCAGGCGCCAAGAAUUCUUGCUACGACGCUCCAUUCAACCUGGAGGUCCAACCAACAUGAUCAGAAUCCAUGCUUCUGUUGAAGAGGUAUACUGAGUCCUGCCUCGCCCAGUGAGUUAACCAGAAAAUUGGCAGAGGCUCAAAUCAGCAUCCUGAAUGUGACUAUCAAGCCAUUGUGAAAUCUUGGCUGAAUUGUGAAGGAUAUUUUUGACAACUAUCUUAGAAAGCCCACCAGAUCAUGUGAAUGAACAUGCAGCAGAAGAGGGGGUGUUCUCUCAGUGAUUAAGGUAACAGUGAAUAAGGCUGCUUUGUAUUUAUUCCUCAGGGAGAACUGGUGGAGACUUCAUGUGAGGAAGAAGAAAAGGAAAGCAGAUGAUGACCACAGCCUCUCAACACCCAGCUUAACAAAGCUUCGCUCAGCAGUGGGAUCGCGCUCUCCAGAACACAGGUUGCUGUUUUCAGUUCUAUGCUUUGUCCUCUCAUCCCCUUUGUUCUUUCUAGAAACUGUAGCAUAUGUAUAAAUUAUUAUAUCCCAUAAAAAGCACCUCAUGUUCAUGGCAAAAAAAAAAAUAUCCCUAAAAUAUGGUAUAAUAUUUGUUCAGGUAGGCCUCCGGUUGUCAAAAAUUCCUGGGUCCCCAAUGCUAUAAUAAAUGUCACCAGAGAUGAGCCUGGAUUUCAGCAACAAAGGACCCCAGCUUCAUGCAAGGAAGACAGUUGAAUGAUCUGAAAGUGCAGCCUCAUGACUAACAUAGCACUGAUGAAAACAAGCAAGAGGCUUGGGGCCUAUGCUGGCUUGUGCAUGCUAAGGCUGGGAUGAAUUUGUCAUAGCUAGCUGCCAUUGAGGAAUGCUCAUCAACAUGAUCCUGAUGUCCAUGCCACCUGGCCUCAUGAGAGCUGCCAGAGGAACUGAGCUAGCUAAGGCCUACAACCCUUUGGCUCCAAGCCUAACACCUCACCUGAUUAUGAAAUACAGUUAGAGAGCUUGCCCAAACCAGUCCUCCUUUCUGACUUGCUCAUCAGAAAUUAGAAAUUGUCUUAGUACCUAUGGAAUAUGAGGGCAGAAAUUUUAUAGGUUAAUUAUAAAAAAUAUCAGGAGUCCUGGUAACCCUUUUUCUCACUUGGGAUAGAUGGCCAAAGUCUAUAAACUGGGAGGGCUGUGCCUUCUAAAUACAUUCUUAAUGAGUCCCUGGGACACCCUUUGUCAUUCCUAGCACCUCUCCAUUCUUAGGAGUGCUAACACCUUUCAUUUCCUCCUCCACCCUGGUUGAUUUCAGCAGUUCCUUUUUCCUUUUCUUCUCCCAGGCCAUCAGUUACUCACCAUAGGGAGGGGCUUUAUUGUGAAUGAGAGAAGAAAGUCUCAGUAAGUGGUGGGCAUGACACUGAUUUUCUCAGGAUGUAAAGGAAAAAUUGGGGGAUAAAGGAAAGGGAAAUUACAAACUCGUCAUGAUGAUUUUAAUGGAUGUUAAAUCUAGCAAUCUAGUAAGUAAGGAAGCUAAUUGAGGUCUCUGGUCUUUGAAGAUAGGUGUGAUCUCCUUAUUGCCCUUUGGGAUGAGGGAAGAGAGAAAAGUGAGGGAAGUCUUAAAACACUGUAGUCAAUAUUUUUACUCAGUGGAGCCUUGGCUGAAACUCACUUCCUAAGCCCACCAUAUAUAUAUAUUAUUUAUUUAUUUAUUUAUUUAUUUAU